UGUUGAAGAGAAGCCCUUGUCGGUACGCUUGCGUAUCCAACAAGAUGAUCGGAGUGCGGUCUGGUUCUAGGUCUCGUUCCCCAGUCGACUGCCUGUGGCAUGUUAACCGGGCCCUUAUAUUAUUUGGUCUUCCGCUGCUGUUAUCUGAUAGUUGACGGGCUACCUGGCCCUAAUGGAUUGGUACGGAUAAACACAGAAGAUUUCCGAUUUCCAAAAUCGGGGGUCUACAGUGGACAACGUUAUGCUAUAGAUGUUCAACAUGGAGGGAAUUCAAAAGAGGCACCAUGGAUGAAAAGGAAGCUCACCAAAUGGAGGAAAACAAAAUGCUGCUGUUGCUGCCCUGUAGGCUGAAACCACCACUCUCUUAUUCCUUCUCGAUCUCUCUCAACUCUCCAUGCAUGUGCAAGAUGUUGGGAUGGAUGGAAAGCUUGGAUGAUGGGGAUUGUUGUGGUCUAACAUGCAUGGAUUGAUCUUGGGCUAUUGGAUGGGGUUUGGGGAGGAGAAGUUAGAUGUGAACUCAGCUUGAGGAGGAAAAGAAAGAACAGGCAGUGAAAAUGAAAGGGAAUCCUUUCGAAAAAAAAUGAAUGGGGAGGAAGAAGAAGGGGUUUUCUCUGCCCCCCUUAAGUUCUGAGGUGGGAGCACGCCCAUGGGUGUGUUGUGGGGUUUAAGAGGCACCCAAGGUCAGUGACAAGUGGACCCAAGACAUGGCUGUCUAUGAGGGUGAGAGAGGUGGGUGAAAAACUGAGUAUAGAUUCGUUCUUUCAAUUUCCAGGAUUUAUUUUCUUUCCCUCUCAUGGUAAAUUCGAUUUGUCUAGGUAAAACUUGUUCAAAAAUUCAGGAAUAUGGUGUGGUGAUAGGUGUUGGUUUAUAGGUUCCAUUUUUCAAAGUUUCACACAUAAAUUCCAAGUAUUUUAAAUCUGGUGAAAAGAUGAAAUUAGUUAGGCUGAAAGUUAUAUUGAAAUUUCAGGAGGUCAAAACGGAGAGCUAAAAUUCCACAAAAUUUAUAUUUGUUGGUGAUAAAUAAACAAGUAUUUGAAUAAAUUAUUAAACAUGUAUACUUCUAUUCAAGUUGUUGUUCAAGUAGAAGUGGUUUCAAUUUUACCGUUUAGAGUUAAUUUUGUUAUCGCAUACGAUCAAUUUGCAAUAUAGUAAAUAUGUAAUCUAAAAGACAACAAAUGCACUUCUAAAUACCUGGUUAUGAAUGUAGGGUUGUUCGAAUCUCUCUGGACCGAGUCGCAUCUAUGUUUAGACCAAGGCAACCGAUAGUUGAGCCGAUUCCGUAGAUAACCAUGGGACAACAUUUGCCUAUUCCACAGCAACAGUGUUGACGGUCCUUAAGUCAUAAUAUUUGACCGUCAAUGCCUGCAUAUAAUGGAAUAAAAUGUGGAAACCAACAUAGUGGUAGGGAUUAUUACUAAUCAAUUCCACUAGUGUUGGUGAAAUAUGUGUAUGCAGGGAUUUUAAGAAGAAAACACACCCGGCAUGCAAAGAAACACACCUCCAGCCAAUCAGGCGCGAGCACACGGAUUGGAGGGCCCACAAAUCAGGUGAAACCUCCAUGGAACAGGCCAUAACUGCCAUAACCGUCAUCAGGGCCCACCAGUCAGUGUCCCUACCAAAGGAGAGGCCAGGAGGCGGGGACCAGGGUUCAGCCGAACCACCACAGCCUCCUCUCAUCCUGGCCCUCCACGUGUACGUUGUUGAUGCCUUCCCAAUGACGGUUGAGGGCGUUUUGGACAAUUCCCAUAGCUGUAACCAUCAUAUGGAGGCUAUAAAUAGAGCUCUCCUUCACACUUCACAACACACAACUUUGAGCUGAAUUACAAGAGGCUCUAUUGUAUCUUUUGUACAUUAGAAUAAGGUAGAGAGUGAGGGGAACCCAAAAACUCUCCUCCCGGCCCCUCCUUCGGCCAGGGGGUUGCUUAUUGGGCCUCCAACAACCUGGACUAUGUUUUGGCCUAAUUCUAAAUGGUUUUUAUUGACUUA
Molecule: non-coding RNA, 1986 nt
Organism: Oryza sativa Japonica Group (Japanese rice)
Lineage: Eukaryota; Viridiplantae; Streptophyta; Magnoliopsida; Poales; Poaceae
Source: RefSeq, a predicted model, not a curated record